UGAAUGGGGGUUCUUUUGGGAGGAGGGACCUACGGCGUGGUUGGAGGUUGGGGUUCCUGUAAGGGGUGUAAAGCUCCACCCACCACCCCCCACCGCCACUUCUCCCGCGUACAGCGGCUAUAAAGUCUUCCACUUAGCUUCAUGUCGUCAGUGCUCAUCACAGCGACACGACAGUAAAGAUGAGGACUGGCUGGGUAGUGACGCUACUGCUGGUGGUGCUGACCGGCAGAGAUGACGAGGUCCUGGCCUCAGUAUGGAGGAGGAGGAGCCGCACCAUCCACAGACCAGCAGCUGCAUGAAGCACUGGCGGGGGCGGCAGUGAGCAGCAGCAGCAGCAGCAGCAGCAGCAGGGUGGUGACACGGAGGUGUUGACUGAAGACUUCAAGUUCGAGCAAGCUCCUGACUGUUCUAAGGUCAGUGUCCAUACCUCACCUUGUACAUACAUACUAUUAUUAUAUUCCUGUAGAAGCGCUAAACCCCUAGGGGUCAUGAACCGCCUGGGGAAGGGGCGGUAAUUCAGAGUUGAUGCAAGAAAUGGGAGGGCUGUUCCAUUUCCUUUGCUCAAGAAUCUAUCACCAGCAUCAAAAUUAACGUAAGAGAGGGAAUUCAUAACUAAUUAAGA
Cherax quadricarinatus is the source of this 622-nucleotide non-coding RNA. NCBI's taxonomy places the organism in Eukaryota, Metazoa, Arthropoda, Malacostraca, Decapoda, Parastacidae. The record is from RefSeq and is a predicted model, not a curated record.